UGGGGAAUAUUGCACAAUGGGCACAAGCCUGAUGCAGCCAUGCCGCGUGUAUGAAGAAGGCCUUCGGGUUGUAAAGUACUUUCAGUCGGGAGGAAGGUGUCAAGGUUAAUAACCUUGGCAAUUGACGUUACCGACAGAAGAAGCACCGGCUAACUCCGUGCCAGCAGCCGCGGUAAUACGGAGGGUGCAAGCGUUAAUCGGAAUUACUGGGCGUAAAGCGCACGCAGGCGGUUGAUUGAGUCAGAUGUGAAAUCCCCGGGCUUAACCCGGGAAUUGCAUCUGAUAAUGGUCAGCUAGAGUCUUGUAGAGGGGGGUAGAAUUCCAUGUGUAGCGGUGAAAUGCGUAGAGAUGUGGAGGAAUACCGGUGGCGAAGGCGGCCCCCUGGACAAAGACUGACGCUCAGGUGCGAAAGCGUGGGGAGCAAACAGG
RNAcentral lists this ribosomal RNA (429 nucleotides) under Chloroflexota bacterium. RNAcentral's name for it is "Chloroflexi bacterium partial 16S ribosomal RNA". It matches the Rfam family "Bacterial small subunit ribosomal RNA", at positions 355 to 776 of the family's 1533-position model. The record is from RNAcentral. Lineage: Bacteria; Bacillati; Chloroflexota.